ACUGCCCGGCCAGCCCCGGAGGGAGGCUGGGCAGGUGCUGCGGGCUCUGCCGAAAGCGCUGAAAUAAAAAACCAUCGCCACUCAGGGAGAACUGAGGCAAGUGGGGCUGAGACUCUGGCGACACCCCCGCCCCCCAGCCUCUGCCCCAGCGCCUGCCGCCCUGCCGCCCUGCCGCACCCCGCCUGCUUGGGUGGCGACCGCGGUUCCGGAACGCGAAGCAGGGCAGAGGGCUGCAGAGAGGCGUGUAGCUUUGUGCGCCAGGACCCGGUGGGGCAGGUGGCAGCCCCGGGCUGUCCGCGCCUCCCAGCAGAGCCGAGCUCGGCGCCGCCCACCGAGCCCACCUCGCGGUCCAGCCGCCGCCAGCGCCUUUCGGCUCUGGCCUGAAGCAGUACUCCCGCCUCCUGGAGCGGGUAAGUUGAGAGUCCGGAGAGCAGGGCAGGGAGGCGGGGCGGCUGGUCCCAGAGCGGAGGGCCGGACUGGCUCCCCGCCGGGCUGGGGGCGCAGGCUCCAUAGGAUCUCAGUCGAGGGGUUCUGAGUGCGUGUUUGGGUGGGAAGCAGGGCUGUGGAGCGCCAGAGCUUCCCCUCCCAAAUUCCCAGGCGCUGGGCACUGGGGAGUGGAGCAGAAGCAGAGGGACCUUGGGUUCCGGGGCCCAGCGGCCUUCCACGCUGGUCUGGGAACCAAGCAAGCCCUAGGGCAGUGCGAGGACUGGGAAGGGACCCUGGGGGACCGCUAGAGGAGGUGGCGCGUGGAGGGCGCCUGCACCCUGGGGUCGCUCAGAGCGGAGAGUCUCGGGUGGAUAGGUCAGCUUGCAGAUCCUCUAGGUCUCUUCUCUGCUCUCUGGCCGCUCUGAUUGCGGGAUCUGGGACUUGGCGCCCGUACAGGCCGGGUCACCUGUGCAGAACAAAUUUGCUGCCAUCAUCCCCGCUUCAAUCCUGGCCCCGGCGAUCUAAAAUAUCGCCUUCAGGUGGGGCAGGGAGAAAAGAUGUCUUUGGGGUUUAAAUAGUGUUCUCCUUGUACCCGGACCAACUGGCAUUUAUUUACAAAUGUCACCCGCCACCCCAGCACUGGGAAAGUCUCAACCACAUCUGGAGAACGCCCGAGAGACCUCCCACUCUCUCCUUGUUUUGGGUUACAGGGAAAGCCAACGGGUCUGCAGGCCUCCGGGAGACGAGGAUCCGGAGGGUUGGGGCAGCUGCACCCACUUGGCCUUGCUCAGCUCUAAACAGCCGACCAGGAGGCCGGGGGAAGGUUUGCCCUGUGGGGGCAACGCCCCUUCCGGCUCCCAGGAUGUCGGGAGGCGGAGGCUGGCCGGGUGGCCCGUAGUCUGGGCCUCCCCGCAAGCUGCAAACUGAGGCGCUUGGCGCGGGCGGCCAGGGAGGGCGCAGGGGAGCGCAGCACGCAGGCGGGGAGGCCGCGAAGCCCUUCAAGGACCCCGAUUACUUUCCUUUGAAAAACAACAACAACAACUGCUCCCUCCCCGCACCCCCGCCCCCCGCCUUAGCCUCCGGGGACUGGCGCUCCAAGCAAUUGUCGCCCCGGACAGUAAACACAGCUCAGUUGCCUCAACUUUCUCCAUGCAUAAAAGUUCCUGGCGUGCGGGGAAAUUUGAAUAUUUGAUCAGCCCCUUUGAGUGACCCUCAUUAGUCCGGCGCCCUGCUAAGGCCGGGCAUUGCAAGAAAGCUGCUGGGCUCGGCAUUUGUACGCCUUGUUAGCGCAGCUUAAUGAAGCCGCCCCGACGGCUCAAAGGCGGCCUCAGGGGCCGGCGACGCGCACCUCUCGGCACCCUGCUCUGCCUAAUGAGCCCCGCCGCCCUCUAAAGGACCCUCCACCCCCCACAUUCUGAAACAGGGGAAGUUUGGCUCUGUCUUGAACCACGGCACCUCCCACUGCCAGGCCCAGGAGGGUGGGCACAAACCCAGCCUAGCUGCCUGCAGUUACCCAUUCCCAAGAGAGAGGGGCUGGAGAGUUGGGAGGUGUGAGCCAUACUGGUUGGGGGCAGUGCAGGGAGGGGAGCGGGUGGCAGGAGAGGCUUUUGCUGUCUCAGGAUCCAGCCCAGGGAGUGCACUGCCAGCCUCUCCCAAGUGGACCAAUUGCAAAUCAAUUAGUCACUCCAGUUCCUUAAAGGUGCAUCUGGACUAAUGCUGGGGUGGCUGAGGGUCAGCCUUCCAUCCUCCUAUCACCUUAGGUUCCCUUGGCUUCCACUGCCCAGAGGCCACACACUUCUUCCCAAGGUUCCCCUUCUGAACAGCCAGACCUGGUGUGCCAGGACUUGGAUUUGAGAAAGGGUGGGCAGCUCCCCUCCCUAACCCAUCAUUGCCUCCACCAUUCACAGAGCCCAGUCACAUGUUAUGACAAGUGGCAGUAGGGAAGGCAGGGGACCACAGCCCGUCCUGCACUCCCCCUCAACAGAGGUAUCCCUUCUUUGGCUUCUAGUCCCAGGGAGGCCUGGCAAAAAAAGUGCUAUAGGCAAGACCACCCUGCAAGACUGGCCUGGCAGCCUGGCAGAGAGGCAGAGAGCCAGAGCCCUGGAAGGAAGGGAAACCAAAGCAGUCAUCUACUUCACCUUUUCUUAGUGGGGCAGCUGACAUGGCUGGCCAGUAAAUAUAAGACACCCUCUUAAAAAUUGUGCUUCAGUCCUCAGGAAGUGUAGCCUUCCUUCCCUUUCUGUCUCCCCUCUCCUCUGAUGCCCUUUUCCCUGGACAGUCGGAGCUCAAGGUCCUUCACUCCCUCCUUGCAUACACAGCUCUUGGGCCCUUAAGGGUUACUUUUGGGGGGAAUUAAUGCUCUGGGCUUGGGAAGCAGGCUGCUCCAAAUCCACACUCAGGACUUUCUGGACCCCACCCCCCAACACACAAACACAAACAUGCCCAGGAUCCCUCAGACACACAGUGGGCCUGGUCAGGUUGGUAACCUCAGGACCCCGUGCCCGCGUGAGCGUCUCUGGGAGGUCGUGGAAAGGAACCAAAAGGCCAGGUAGGCCCUGGGAUACAGAGAGCCCUCCAAGUCCAUCUGGUUUGCUUCUCUUCCUUUCUCUCUCCCUAGCUCCGCUAGCAUGCCCUGCCCCAUUUCCCAUCACAUAACCCCCUAACUUAACCCUAAACUGGCAAUCUUUAGGCAUCACCUCUGAGCUGGGCAAAGGCGGUGCCCGGGCCUUGAUCGACCCAGAGGGCUAAAGUAGGGGCGGGGAAGGGAGGGGUGUGCGCUGCUGGUGAGAAAGGGGACCUGAGGCGAGGGUAGAACUCAGCCCUGUGGCCUCGAGGCCAGGCCCACCGGCUGCUCAGGGGAGGAGGCGAGGGGAGGGGGCUGGGAGUCCGCAGGCAUCGGUCGGGGCAGCAGGGACCUCAGGCGUCGGCGUGGGGGGCUAGAUCCGGAGGAGAGGGGAGGGGAGGCGGGGGUCGGGGGAUCGCGCAGGGCGGAGGAGGGGUGCAGCUCUUUAAGAGCCACACGGCUGGCAGGAGAGGCGCGCGGCCCGGUGCUGGUAGAGCACUGACCCCGAAGGGGAUUUAGCGGGAAGAGAGUGGCCGGGCUCUGGGGGUUUUGUCCGAGGGGGCCGGGAGAGGCCGAGACACAAGAAUAAGGAGCGGCCGCGGCAUGAAAGGCGGCGAGGAGAGGCAGCACUGCUGCUCUUGACUUCUGAGCAGGGCUUAGAGAGCCUGCCCCGGCUUAAGCCGAGCUGCUGGUGCUGACCCUGAGCGCCGAGUCCGCGAGCUCUGAGUCCGGAGCCUCCCAGCCGUGGAGCCGUGGGAUGAGGGGGGCGUUGGGGGACAGGGCAAAGUCGAUCUUGGUUGUACAGCCGCCCGAUCCUAGCGCGGAGCUGCGAGCCUGACCGGCCGCGUCUGGCAUGGUCAGAGAAAGAAUUUUCUUUUCCCAACUCCGGCUUUUGGUUUUGUGUGUCCACCUUGCGCAACUCCGGAGCCAGCCGACCCCACAUGGAUUCUCAACAGGUGGCCGGGUAAGUCCGUUUAAAGAAUUCUGGUUAUAUGGUCAGCCCCUCCCCGACCUUCUUCCUUUUCCCCUCCCUCUUCCCCCUUUGGCUGGGCCGGGUUCCCCGUGCUCCUCCCGCAGGCGACGGCUGGGGUGGUGGUGGGGGAAGAGGCGCCCUUCCCCUGGGGGUCUCUGGGCUCCGAGUUGCAGCCCAGGAAGCCUGGCGGGCGGCCCCCAAGGAGUUCCACCCGGUACCCCCAAGUCCCGAUCACUCUUAGCUCCUUGGUCUGGGCCCUGGCGCCCUGAGAGGGGGAGGGAGAAAGAACGCGCAGCAGCACCUCAAAAGCCGAAGUCCCCGGGAAGGGGGACAGGGGACCCGGUGGCCGGGCAGCCUUUGUGUGGGGGUUUACGGCGGAAACAGAACUAUUCUUCUUGUGUGAGAGGCCCGGGAUGUGGCCAGGGGGAGCCCGCGCCAGCCGUACAAUAGCCGGCAGAAGAGCGCCUCAGCAGCCGGGGUAGGAGUGGGGUAGGGUGGGGUAGACCUGGGUGGGGGAGGGGAGGGCGAGAGAAGAGGGAGGGGAAGCAGAGAAAGGCAAAGGCGAGAAAUCCAGGGCGUCCGAGUGAAAAGUCGGAAAAUGUUUCCAGAGCGCGCCACAAACAGGCGCGCGCGCGCGCUUGCGGGCGCAUAGUCUCUCUGUCUCUCUCUCGCACACACACAAACACACUCUUACAUGCUCACACUCAUUCCACACAUGGAGCCCACGCACGCGGUUCCUAGUCGUGCAGGGUCGCAUGCCUGGGCACCCAAAGUGAACGCAGAGUAGAGCCGCCCUCCCACCCCCACCAACGGAGAGCCCUCCCGCCCAGCCACAGGCUCCCCGACUGGGGAGCUAGGAGGGCCCCCGGGGCUGGGGCACAGGGAGGAUCUUACCUGCCGAAAGGUAAGGGAAGCCGGGAGCACGGAGCAGCGGCGGAUAAAUAUUCAUUAGUAAGUCUCUCCUUUUAAGCCGCGCGGUGCGCUCUCUGGCUCCUAUCUCUCUUUCCCUCCCUCCCUCUGUCCUCUUGUGAGCCUCUCUCCCCCUCUCGCUCUGUCUUCCCCCCACCCCUUCCUGCGAAAUGCCGGGUGGAUCCCAGUAUAGCUAACCUGUUGGGAAGCCUGAGCCGCGGGCAGCGCCUCCACAGCUGUUUGCUUUUGCUCUUGGGGCGCGCGUUUCCCCAUCCUCUCCCCUCUCUCCUUUUGCCCAGCCCCUCUCCCCCUCCUAAAUUACUACAUCAUUAGCUUUAUUUGGUGGGGGGACAGCUCAGCCAAACGCACCUCCCUAUAGCAGGGUGAAAAGCCGCUGCUCCCCGAGGCAGCCCCAACUCCACCCCUACCCCUGCCUCACCCAUCUCCAUGUCCCUACCCAGUUUUGUUUAUUUUUCUUCUCUCUUUCCAUCUUCACUUCCGUCCUGUACCGACCCAACUCCCUUACCAUUCCUCCCUUCCUCGUCGCUGCCAAUACGGAUCCCAGACGGGGUCGGGGCAGGGAGAUGCCAAGUGAGUAGGUCCAAUAUGCCAAGGUCGGGACUCCACCCUGCCAUGGGCGUGGGGGUAGUCCUCCAGGUCCCCCUUUCCCACGUAGGCUUUCCACCCUGACCCUAAGUGGGUACCGGGGCAGCUUGGGCCUUGGGAUCAGAGCACCAGGGCGCACAGCAAGGGCCUCAGCCCUCCAGGCCUCAGCGACCUGGAGCCUGGGUCCUUUGACCCGGUCUGGGAGACUGCAUGGCGGAGGGGAGGUGGCUUCACUUUGUACGAAUGCUCAGGAGAGACACAACCACCGACCAUCGGACUGACGUUCUCCCUUUUCAAACAAACUGACCUUAAGUCAGCAGUAAGUCUGCAUCAUUCUCACGAGAAAACACAUCUACAAGAUUCUAGAAAUGCACAAGGAACCGCUUCUAGUCGCGCGUGAACACGUGCACACACACCACACCCCUCACCCCCACACACCCGAGGCCACCGUUCCCGCUGGCCUCUGAAACCUGUAGGCGCGCAGGCCCGAAAGGCUAAUUCUAGCGGAGGAAUACAUCGCAAAACCGCCCCAGGAGAGCCCUGGCCACUCUUGUUGGCCCCCAUUCUUCCAGAUCCAGGCCUCUAGGAUGCCCCAGGGACCCUGAAGGAUGGUGAGGCCCCAGGGUGCUUGGGGGUGGUCCGGGAAGCUCACUCUGGCAGCCCGCUGAGCGCUGCGUGUUGAGGUAGGAGCUGGAGGAGGGGCCAAGGGAGGCGGGCCCAGGCCAAUUCCAAGUUACAAAUACAGCUGCUCCUGCGAGGCCUAGGAGAGUUUUGCCCCAAAACGUGCAUAUCAUUCGCCCCGAGACGCCAUGACCUCCCCAGACAUAGCCCCAGGGCGCACUCGACCUCGAGGUGGCUUGGGUGAUGGGAGCAAUCGAGAGCCAGGAGACGACCUCGAGACCUCCGCCCGCCCAUUCAGCCCGGCCCAGCCACAGUCCACCGAGAGACGCCCUAGAUGAUGGUCCUAUCCUUCCCAAAGGGUGGCAAGGCGCAGGAUCGCGGAGGGUCUCCCUCCUUGUCCUGAAAGGUUAAGAAAUUGGGCAGAUGAAGGUAUUUAAAAGAGGCCUAGAGGGCCCUGGGGCCGAAAGCCCUAUCAACCUCACACUCCACCCAAAGUCCCGCGUUUGCACGUGCACACCUCCUUCUCCCCAUGCAGACCCAGGGGGUCGCGCACGUUUGAGCUCAGACUCAAGCUGAGUCACCUGACUAUGCCUGGAACGUACAGGCAAUCGUACCGAAUACACAUGGGAGAAUUAAAGGAACACUACGGGAGAAUUAAAGGAACACUAACAGGAAUUUGAGGAAUAAAGAAGUGCCCACAGGCAUAAUUAUUUGAAUACACGGGUGCACACCCUGUUGUCCAGAUGCAGACAAAAGCCACAGUGCCUGCGAGGAGUGACCCCAACCACAAGGGCAGAUGUACAGGAAGCCGUGAACGGGAGAGUUCGCCGAAUGAGGACGCAGGCCGCAAGGCCAAGGGGGCUUCCUGCUAGAGGGACGUUGGCUCGGAGGGAGAAACUUUGUUGAGCCGACUGGGUGAAAGGUUUCAGGUCAAGUCCUGGCCACUAGAAAGAACCAAGGCCUCAUCCACUCAGAGCCAACCUUUUAGCCUUCCUCUCAGCUCUGUUGGAGAUACCCAGAAAAGGACAAUCCAGGAAAGAUUCAUUUUGACCGAGAUUGUUUUUAUUGUUUAUUUCUUAUUAUUUUUGACCUAGGGGUUUGCAUUCUGAAAAAGGAUUUGGGUGGCGCGUAUGCAAGUUCUCACUCACUGCUGGGAGAUUCAUAAUUCUUAAUAGGAACAUUCAGCUCUAACCAUGGCCUGAGAAGCUGGAGGGCCCUUAUUUUGCCCCUUUCACCCUUCUUAUCCUAAACUUGAUCAUUCAAAAGGAUCCACACCCUCCUGCCCCCAACUCCACCCCAAUACCCUGUAUGUCAGAUAUGUUUGCAGAAGAACACACUUCAAAGUAAACCAAAUUACAUAGUUUAUUUAAAAAAAUUUUUUGUGAUAUAUUGGGAAGUCCUCACCCCCUGCUCCCCUGUCUCUGGCUGAGCACGGUGUCCGGGCGGAGUUGGGGGGUUGCCAAGAGGAGUUUCCAGAGUGGCUCUUGGGCAAGGCCUGAGAAACUACUCUACAUAGGCUUGUUUUUAGUGUGAGCUCCCUUUGCCUAACCAGUUCUAGUGGCUACCUCCCGGUUUCCUGCAGAAGAGGCAGGCUCCCUGGGAGCAGGGGCGCCCUCGCUUCCACUUCACCUCCUUUCCUAACUUUCUCUCUUUUGAGCACAUCUUCUGAGCCUCGCUCUCUCAUCUGAAAGUGGAGUGUAAGUCCAAGAAGAUUCAUUUAGACAAAGAAGGUGGAAAAAAAGGACUUUCUGGGCCAGCAAGUCGGAUGACCACCCUCCAAGGGGCAGAGGAGGGCCCAUUUUGUGAAGAAGAAAUCAACUACCCGGAAAACGCCACAGGAGGACAUGUUUCUGCAGAUGUAGUUGCCCUAGAAACAGAAGAGUAUGGGGGUGUGAAUGUCUUCUCUUUUGGGGGCAAACACUAUGUCCUUUUCUUUUUCUAGAUACAGUUAAUUCCUGGAAAUUUUAGCGAGUUUGUUCUUGUGGAUAUUUUGAACAAUAAAGAGUGAAAAUCACUUUGGAGUCACUUAAUCUUCGUUAGAAGGGCAGUUUCUUCCAGGGCCAUUUUCUUUCACCAGAUUUGUUUUUCCUCGUUCCCAAAUGAGGUAGUUUUAAAAAUCAAAGUCCACUUGCUAACUCACCUGGGAAAGAGACUGCGACAGAAGGAAGAGAAGUAAAUAGACAUCACUCUCAAACUAAAAGUGUAACUUUCAUUCCUGGCAGCUGAGAUUCAGAACACAAAGAAACAAACUCGUUUACCUUUGAGUAUUUCCCCCGUUUGGGUAAUUUAUCUAGAGCUUUCCCAACAAUUAAUCACAGCAUCUUGAAGUUGGAAAUGUAUGCUAUUAUUUUCAGCCUUACAAGGUUCGUCAAACUCUGCUUCUCUGGUUUUAAAAACUGUUUGCUUCUACAUAGCUAUGCCCGUUGCAACAUUUAUCACUCAAGCAGAAAAGCAACUCGUUUUCUCACAGCCUCAAAUGCCCCGUGUACAGUCACUGGAGCGAAUUUAUUUUUCUCUGUCUUUCCCAAAUGCCCUUGUCACCUCUGCCAGGGCCACAAGACUCGGGGCAAAACUUCGGAGGUUUGAGACCUCUUGAGUGUGUGGAUCGCUAUUAUUGUUAGUUUUUUUGUUGGGAGAAAUCGUGCUCGGUGAUCGCGUGCGGUUGUCUCUCUCUAAGCCGACUAGGGUUGCCUGCGCCUUCCUCAGCAGAAACUCCUAGAGGAAGCUAACCAUUUCCGCUGCCCGGGGCAAAGGGCUGAACGGUGUUGUCGGGUCUAGGGUUGGGGUGGGAAAGUGAGGACGGUAUGCGGAUCGGGGAGGGGGCAGUCAUCAUCUUCAACAAUAAAUUAAAAUAACCUGAUACCCCUUUAAUCCCUUCCAUCAACAGUGUCAACGCGCUAGAGAGGCCGUCUCACCUCCAAAGGUAUCUUCACUCCCGGAGGGCCCGGGCUCCCAGCCGCAGUCCCACACUGGGCCCGCGCGCCGGAUACGAGGUGCUCCGACGGCAAAAAUCCCAUACAUUUUUAACUACAGUGAUUACUAAAUUAAUAGCAGGCACUAAGACAGAUGUCAAAACGUCUUGAAAAUGUUUAUCUGUGAAUAAUUGAGAAGGUGGUGGGACGCAUUAUCUGAUUGUGUAAUGAAAUAUGUAUGAGGAACAGCUGUUUGCAACAGUCCCCUCCCGCCGCCUCCUCAGCCAAGGCCCUUCUCUAGGAAGCAGGAGUCGCGGCGAAGUUGGUCGCCUACUUCCGUCCACUUGGGAGCCCUCGCGGCCCCUCCCCGGCUGCUGGCAGAAUGGUGGCUCCAGCGCGCCCCAGAGUAGUCCGGUUUCCCGACGGACAACAGCAUGGAGUCCUCCUCAGCCUCGCUCUGUGGGCUCCGUGCCUGAGUGAGGCUCCACCGCCGGCCGCGCUGUCCCUCGCGCCUUCGGGGCCGGCCGCGGGCUCGGCCUGCGGGGACCGAGGGGAGCACUGGCCCGGGCGGCCGCGGAGGCCUGACGUGCGCCCACCGGGCGGUGCGGCCUGCUCGGAGGCGAGGCCCGGGAGCCCCGCGGCUCAGCGGGGCGGGCCUGGGGUCACCGAGGGGUGACGGGGCUCCGGAGAGGGCUUUGUUCGCGCUCUCGCCACACUGCGCACUUCCUUCCAGCCCCCUGCGGCCCCCACCCCAAACCUCCGCGCCCCCGCCCUGUUUGUUUUUCCAGCCCCGCGCCCUCCACCCCAACACGCAAACAGCCCUCGGGGCUGCGUCAGCGGCCUGAGGCCGUGGCCCAGGUCAGGCCUGAGUCCAAAUGGGGCCAGCACGGCGAGCCCUGGCCCCGCAGGAAGCGGUGUGAGGGGGAGAGGGAGCUCCAGGGCCUUCCUGGCGCGAGAGGGGCAGGCGAAGGCCGGGGGGAAGGUGGUCCAAUAGGGCGCACGGCCUGGGCGGGCGGCGAAGGCCCGAGGCCUGGGCUCGGAAGGGUGCGGGCGGCCUGCGCGGCUGCCCAGCCCCUGCCGCUGUCCCCAGCCCCAGCUGGACAGGGGAGGCGCGGCGGAGUGGGGGUGAGGAGGACGCCAGGAAGGGCCCCAUCGGGCCUGGGCCUUGAAGGCAGUGUCACCCACAUGGACAAACCCGGUGCCCCGUGCGGGUGUGGGGACCCCCUCGCCGCCUUCCCUGCGCUUCGCCCCGCCCGGAGACCGCGUCCCGGGCGCGGCGCUUCCCGAAGCUCCCAGCCGGGCCGUGGCUUGCCCGCGUCCUCCGCCUCCACGGCCUCUCGGCCCCUCAUCUUCCCCAGCUCCGGGGACCCGUCCCUAGCCCCUGACGCCCGGGAAGCCUGGCUCCGAAACCUUCGGCCGCGUUGGCCUUCCGGCGCCGCUGUCCCGACCGCUCUGGGGCCGGGGCCAGGGCCGGGAGCGGAGGAACCGAGUCCGGCUUUGCGGCCCCGUGGCGCCCCGACACCCUGCGCCUUCGCAGUCUCCCUAGGCUGACUCAGUCGAGAUGCGCUCGGGCGUUAUGUCUGGAGCGUCGCCCUUUUACCUAAUCCCUUAUGCUUUUAUUCUAAUCCUACACAUUACAGUUAAUCUGUAAUGAUACCGCUUUGGAGGAACCUGUUGCAUACGAGGCUCGGCAAUUUGUAACCUUGGAAACAGUUUUAAAUAAAGAUUAUAAGAGUGAUGUCAACUGUGUUUAUUCUCCACGCGGGGGGUGGGUUGGGGGCAAGGCAGCCCCUCGGCGGAGAGGACGGAGUUUCGGGAGAAGGGGUCGAGGCGCGAGGGGCAGGGCGGAGCGGCGGCCGGGGGUCGGGGAGGCGGAGGAGCAGCCAGAGCUGGCUCUAAGUGACUCCAGCCCGGCGCCUGGCAUCUUUUGAGUUUUUCUUUUUGGGAAAUCGCGUGGUCUUAAACCGCGAGGCAUGGGGAGAGGGAAAAGGAUUUGCAAAACUGCGGAAAACUCGGUGAACUUGCGCUCCUGUGUAUCCCAAAUUAGCAUUCAGCCGGGCCCUGCGCGCCUGGAUCGCUGAAGCUGCGCAGAGAGAAAGAGCGGCUUGCAGGACCCUUGGGCUGCAAGAAGGCAGAGCUGCCUCGGUCCGGUUGCUUUGCGCUUCGAGCUUCCUACUCUGCUAAGCGCACUGGCAACAGCAGCAACAACCAAAAGUUGCCGGCACACCAAAAGCAAAAUUAAACAUAAUUGCUUUUAUGUAUCUAUUGCUUUUAUAUCAUUAAAAUAUUUUUAGUUACAUUGUGUAAAAUGGCAUCCACUCUGAUUAUUACCUGCCAUAUCUGUUGAUCUGCUCCUUGUGUAUGCAGCAUAGCAAUAUUAACAAUUAAGAAAAAAGCACAUCAUAUA
This 11417-nucleotide long non-coding RNA is filed under the name Homo sapiens (human). RNAcentral describes it as "non-protein coding LINC01833:28". Lineage: Eukaryota; Metazoa; Chordata; Mammalia; Primates; Hominidae. The record is from RNAcentral.